GUAGGUGGCAAGCGUUGUCCGGAAUUAUUGGGCGUAAAGCGCGCGCAGGCGGUCCUUUAAGUCUGAUGUGAAAGCCCACGGCUCAACCGUGGAGGGUCAUUGGAAACUGGGGGACUUGAGUACAGAAGAGGAAAGCGGAAUUCCACGUGUAGCGAUGAAAUGCGUAGAGAUGUGGAGGAACACCAGUGGCGAAGGCGGCUUUCUGGUCUGUAACUGACGCUGAGGCGCGAAAGCGUGGGGAGCAAACAGGAUUAGAUACCCUGGUAGUCCACGCCGUAAACGAUGAGUGCUAAGUGUUAGGGGGUUUCCGCCCCCCUUAGUGCUGCAGCUAACGCAUUAAGCACUCCGCCUGGGAGUACGGCCGCAAGGCUG
RNAcentral lists this ribosomal RNA (372 nucleotides) under uncultured organism. Its description in RNAcentral is "partial 16S ribosomal RNA". It matches the Rfam family "Bacterial small subunit ribosomal RNA", at positions 527 to 896 of the family's 1533-position model. The record is from RNAcentral.